This 253-nucleotide ribosomal RNA is filed under the name uncultured bacterium. RNAcentral's name for it is "partial 16S ribosomal RNA". It matches the Rfam family "Bacterial small subunit ribosomal RNA", at positions 524 to 776 of the family's 1533-position model. The record is from RNAcentral.
UACGAAGGGGGCUAGCGUUGCUCGGAAUUACUGGGCGUAAAGGGAGCGUAGGCGGACAUUUAAGUCAAGGGUGAAAUCCCAGAGCUCAACUCUGGAACUGCCUUUGAUACUGGAUGUCUUGAGUGUGAGAGAGGUAUGUGGAACUCCGAGUGUAGAGGUGAAAUUCGUAGAUAUUCGGAAGAACACCAGUGGCGAAGGCGACAUACUGGCUCAUUACUGACGCUGAGACUCGAAAGCGUGGGGAGCAAACAGG